This 276-nucleotide unclassified non-coding RNA is filed under the name Hevea brasiliensis (rubber tree). Lineage: Eukaryota; Viridiplantae; Streptophyta; Magnoliopsida; Malpighiales; Euphorbiaceae. The record is from RNAcentral.
GGCAAACAGGCCAUCGCCAGCAAGUAGCAACCUUAUUACCUUCUAUUUUAAACCGAACUGGUCAUUUCAAUUUGGAAAAGAUCCAAACUGAAACCUUCUCAAUAGAAGGUAAUAAGGUUGCUAAAGUUGCCAGUUUGCCAAAAAAAAAAAAAGAAUAAAUUACAAAAAUGAAGCCAGAUGCAUUUUCUAGAAACCUCUGCUGCAUUAGAUGCCACAAAGAAAGGAAAGAAAACAAAAUGCACAUAUUCAAAAUUUCUCACUCAUUUGUAUCAAAGC